Long non-coding RNA from Oncorhynchus tshawytscha (Chinook salmon), 696 nucleotides. Lineage: Eukaryota; Metazoa; Chordata; Actinopteri; Salmoniformes; Salmonidae. The record is from Ensembl.
GACACACACGUGGAGAGAGGAAUAGCUAACCAGACAGUGGAUAGACGUGCAGCAGCAAGGAUCUUGUGAGAUAAGCUUUUUAUUUUCCUUUGAAUAUAAAUCUAACCAAAAGCUUAAAUUACUACCAGCAAAAACUAUUUUGUAUAGAUUAGUAUAGCAGACUUCGGUGGUUUGCAGCCUCUGGUUUUACCCGAACCUCUUCUGUUGUCAUUCAAAACACGUCAGAGAAAAUGGCGGAACUUGAAAAAGACGCAGGACUACCCCAACCAAUGCAGGAGAACCGAGAUGAAGAGGAGCCGGGCAAUUCCAUGGACAAAAGACCCCAGGCUGUGUAAGGGCUAUUUGAUGAAGGAGAGUGAUGGAGGGCUGCAUCAGAUGACCCGACCUCAACCCAAUUGAGAUGGUUUGGGAUGAGUUGGACCGCAGAGUGAAGGAAAAGCAGCCAACAAGCGCUCAGCAUAUGUGGGAACUCAAGACUGUUGAAAAAGCAUUCCAGGUGAAGCUGGUUGAGAGAAUACUAAGAGUGUGCAAAGCUGUCAAGGCAAAUGGUGGCUACUUUGAAGAAUCUAGAAUAUAUUUUGAUUUGUUUAACAUUAUUUUGUUUCAACAUGAUUCCAUAUGUGUUAUUUCAAGGUUUUGAUGUCUUCACUAUUAUUCUACAAUGUAGAAAAUAGUACAAAUAAAGAAAAACCCUUG